GUUUGCACUCAUCGGGGAAGAGUGAGAACCUUCGACUAAGGUUCGAUUCGAGCGAAAGCGAGAGAACGUUGCCACAGGCAACGGCCCGAAGGGUGAGGAGCGAAGCGACGAAUAAUCCUUCCCCCACCACCA
Molecule: small RNA, 132 nt
Filed under: Escherichia coli
Lineage: Bacteria; Pseudomonadati; Pseudomonadota; Gammaproteobacteria; Enterobacterales; Enterobacteriaceae
Description: RtT sRNA
Rfam family: RtT RNA
About the family: This family represents a bacterial cis-regulatory element known as RtT RNA. The exact function of RtT is unknown although it is thought that it may be involved in changing the cellular response in relation to amino acid starvation.
Source: RNAcentral